UGCAAGUCGAGCGAUGAAACUUUAACAGAACCCUUCGGGGCGAAGAUAAAGUGGAUUAGCGGCGGACGGGUGAGUAACACGUGAGUAACCUGCCUUAGACAUUGGGAUAGCCUCGGGAAACCGGGAUUAAUACCAAAUAAAAUCAUAAUGACACAUGUCAUAACGAUCAAAACUCCGGUGGUCUAAGAUGGACUCGCGUCCCAUUAGCUAGUUGGUAGAGUAAAAGCCUACCAAGGCGACGAUGGGUAGCCGGCCUGAGAGGGUGAACGGCCACAUUGGAACUGAGAAACGGUCCAAACUCCUACGGGAGGCAGCAGUGGGGAAUAUUGCACAAUGGAGGGAACUCUGAUGCAGCGACGCCGCGUGAACGAAGAAGGCUUUCGAGUCGUAAAGUUCUUUUAUAUGGGAAGAUAAUGACGGUACCAUAAGAAAAAGCCCCGGCUAACUACGUGCCAGCAGCCGCGGUAAUACGUAGGGGGCUAGCGUUGUCCGGAAUCACUGGGCGUAAAGGGUUCGCAGGCGGAAAUGCAAGUCAGAUGUAAAAGGCAGUAGCUUAACUACUGUAAGCAUUCGAAACUGCAUAUCUUGAGAAGAGUAGAGGUAAGUGGAAUUUUUAGUGUAGCGGUGAAAUGCGUAGAUAUUAAAAAGAAUACCGGUGGCGAAGGCGACUUACUGGGCUCAUUCUGACGCUGAGGAACGAAAGCGUG
RNAcentral lists this ribosomal RNA (707 nucleotides) under uncultured Eubacteriales bacterium. RNAcentral describes it as "bacterial SSU rRNA". It matches the Rfam family "Bacterial small subunit ribosomal RNA", at positions 56 to 763 of the family's 1533-position model. Lineage: Bacteria; Bacillati; Bacillota; Clostridia; Eubacteriales. The record is from RNAcentral.